UGGAAACACAACCCAAGUCAAAUGGGUCGGGAAAGAAAGAAAAUUGAAAGCUCUCGCUGAUUAGGCCAUUGGCUAUGUGGAAAACUCCACAGCUCCUUUAUCUUGGUAAAGACAGCCACCUGGUUUCCAUGUAUCUAAGGCAUCUAAGGCAGCACCAAACAAGAGGGACACACCAGGCCUUCUAAAAGUACUUAACUGAAGUUGCCAGCAGCUUCCAGGGAAAAGAAGACCAGAUUCAAAAGAACCAAUAAUCUCCCAAGGAAGAUUUAUUGAGUUAUAGGUGCCAAGUUCACUACUGACAUGGAAGAAACAGCAUUUUAACAGAGACAAUAAGAGUUAAGGUUAAGUUGGGAUUAACCUUAAUAAAAAGGAUAUUAUCAGA
This is a long non-coding RNA of Monodelphis domestica (gray short-tailed opossum), 382 nucleotides long. RefSeq lists it as uncharacterized. The record is from RefSeq and is a predicted model, not a curated record. Lineage: Eukaryota; Metazoa; Chordata; Mammalia; Didelphimorphia; Didelphidae.